CGUGGCGGGGGGGAGCGCAACCUAACCUGCUGCCUGGCCCGCGGCGACCAAUCGGUACGCGAGUGCCGGCACGACUGACACCUCCGCCCAGCCAGUCAGCGCUCCCGAGCUGCGAAGACGGCCCCCUAGCGCUCUAAAAUCUGGCCAAUCAGAGGCGCCGCACGUUUGACCGACGUUUGCGCCUUCCAAUAGGAGGGGGGCAUAGCGGACCGGCUUUGCCUAUCGAGAACUAGACGUGCGUCGGGAGGAGAGGGGCGGGCCCAGACGGCGACGGGAGGCGGAGCCCGCCCUGAGUGGCGGCGCUGCGAGCCAAUGGGUGCGGGCCGGCGGGGCGGGGGGGCCGGGGGCCAAUGAGGGGGCCCUGCGAGGCGACGGCGGCCGCCUCUGAAAGUGCCGCGAGCCGGCGGCGCCCAGCGCGGGGCAGGGGAAGAUGAGAGAGCAGCAUAAGAAAGAAGUGUUGAGAGCUGCUCUUAACCCUUUUGGAGGCCGAAGUCAAAAGGGAACUAGAGGGCUUGACGCAUCCUUUACAUCCUGCAUUUACUGUGACCACAGUCCCUCCCUGUUCUCACAAGUGGAGCUCAGCCCUGCUUCCCUUCCUGUUGAUUCCCAGUCAGCUACAUGA
Molecule: long non-coding RNA, 622 nt
Filed under: Lonchura striata (white-rumped munia)
Lineage: Eukaryota; Metazoa; Chordata; Aves; Passeriformes; Estrildidae
Description: domestica (Bengalese finch) lncRNA (ENSLSDG00000006174.1)
Source: RNAcentral